Long non-coding RNA from Pan troglodytes (chimpanzee), 1719 nucleotides. RefSeq lists it as uncharacterized. The record is from RefSeq and is a predicted model, not a curated record. NCBI's taxonomy places the organism in Eukaryota, Metazoa, Chordata, Mammalia, Primates, Hominidae. The transcript is spliced from 3 exons.
UAUAUGGAGUGACUUUAUUAUUGGACCUGGGUUCUUCGUGGUCAGCAUCGUAUACUAUUCUUAGGUUGGAGCUGAAGACGUAAAUGCCAACAAGGAGACACUAAAUAUAUUUGCAUUGAGCACUAAUAAAUUGCCAUUGAGGAACAAUUUGUAAAAUAUUUAGAAAAAGAGUUGAUCUAGUAGGGAAGUUAAUUAGAAAAUGACCAUCAGUAGUUGUGGUGAAUCUCAAUAUACAUUGUAUAUACUAAUAGUGAAAUAUAUUUGGACUUUGACCAUUUUAGUACUAAUGAAAAGGUAGGCAAGACUGAGUAGAACCAUAUAACAGAAUUUAGUUAGUAAAUAAGGUUACUGAUAUUCAUUGUUUGGAUUGAAGAUGUUUUGAAAAACUGUUAGUGGAUAAUUUAAUCAUUUUAAAUUUUACAUUUAAGAGUUUAGUCCUUAUAGCUAACAGUAAGCUAUGUAAUUGUGGUUAAGAAUUUAUAACAUUUAAUAAACUAAUUUACCAGGUACAAUAUAAUUUUAGGGAGGCUAUAAUUCAUAGAGCUUGUCAAAAUCUUAAGUGGGUCAUCAUUAAGAGCUAUCUUAUUUUUAAACAUUUCAUAUGUGUUGUUAUGUAUUUCCUAAAAUUGCUACAAUUAGCCAGGCUCUAUUUAAGAGUGUGAAAAGGGCAAAUGUCUACCUUGACUUAGAGGUACCAUUUUUGAGUUAAACUUCAUCAGUAGCAAAGCAUUAGACUUGAAAUGCAUAAGAAAUUCAAUAUUAGCAAUUUCUACAUCAUAGUGUGAUUAUGUAUACCAAAUUUUGCAUAUCUUAUCUAAAAUGGUGUUAUAGUGUAGUUUAACUAAUUUUCCUUAUAUUUUAUGAAAGUCAUUAAAAAUAUUUAUGCCUUUCUUACACUAAUUAAGUAAUAAUUUUUAGACUGCUAUUUAGUACAGGAACUAAUCUAAUACUGCCCAUCUCAUUUUUCUUAUAUGUGAAGAGUUAAAAAUGGAAAGGUCCUAGAGCAUGAGAUAUACAAGCAGAAAUUGCCCAUUAUAAGACUUACCUCUCUCUUGUGAGCUAAAGAUUCAUUAUUCCUGUUUCAAAAUUUAUUCCUAUGGAAAUGCAUCCGAUUUUAGUAGGCUUUCUCUUUCUUUAGAGGUACGUUAGUCAAAAUGGAUAUACCAACCAAACAAAACGCUUGUUCAGUGUAUCUGUUGCUUUAGCAGAGAGUUGAGUAUUUUCUUAUUAAUGUGUAACUGAGCUGCAUUGUUUUCGUAGACCUACAAACCUUCUUUCAACAAGUGCUUCCUAAUUUUGAGAUCUGAAAGUAUGUUCCAGCAUCUUUUGAGUCAUACAACCAAAGUAUGAGGAGAUCACAAGUCUUUUAAAAAGUUGUGCUAAAGGAGAAAUACUUCAGAAGUAUGUUACAUUUGUUUUGGAUCACAGUAUUAUUUAUUUCUCAAGAAGAGAUUUGUUCAUCAUAGUAGUAUUAGCCCGGUGCAGGAAGAACUCAAGUAAAAGGCAAGAAAAAAAAAAAAACAGUGUUGAUUGUGGGAUAUUAAGGAAGGCUAGAAUUUAAGCAACUGAGGUGAAAAAAAAAUGGAGCUGCAGAGUGGUCAAAUUAACUUGUCCAUAAGUCGCAGAGUGAGAUUGUGAACUAGGCCUCUUGCCCCCAGUCCCAUGUCCUUUGCCUUACUUGCAUGGAAGAGAAAAUCAAAGCCUCUCUUCUAUUUGAAG